GUCUAUGAUCAUAUCCCCCUGAACACACCUGGGCUCUUCUGAUCUUGGAAGCUAAGCAGAGUCAGACCAGGUUAAUGCUUGAAUCAGAGAGA
RNAcentral lists this ribosomal RNA (92 nucleotides) under Nannospalax galili (Upper Galilee mountains blind mole rat). Lineage: Eukaryota; Metazoa; Chordata; Mammalia; Rodentia; Spalacidae. The record is from RNAcentral.